Molecule: ribosomal RNA, 1443 nt
Filed under: uncultured organism
Description: SSU rRNA
Rfam family: Bacterial small subunit ribosomal RNA
Source: RNAcentral
AGGCUUAACACAUGCAAGUCGAGGGGCAGCAUGGUCUUAGCUUGCUAAGACUGAUGGCGACCGGCGCACGGGUGAGUAACACGUAUCCAACCUGCCGUCUACUCUUGGACAGCCUUCUGAAAGGAAGAUUAAUACAAGAUGGCAUCAUGAGUCCGCAUGUUCACAUGAUUAAAGGUAUUCCGGUAGACGAUGGGGAUGCGUUCCAUUAGAUAGUAGGCGGGGUAACGGCCCACCUAGUCUUCGAUGGAUAGGGGUUCUGAGAGGAAGGUCCCCCACAUUGGAACUGAGACACGGUCCAAACUCCUACGGGAGGCAGCAGUGAGGAAUAUUGGUCAAUGGGCGAGAGCCUGAACCAGCCAAGUAGCGUGAAGGAUGACUGCCCUAUGGGUUGUAAACUUCUUUUAUAAAGGAAUAAAGUCGGGUAUGCAUACCCGUUUGCAUGUACUUUAUGAAUAAGGAUCGGCUAACUCCGUGCCAGCAGCCGCGGUAAUACGGAGGAUCCGAGCGUUAUCCGGAUUUAUUGGGUUAAAAGGGAGCGUAGAUGGAUGUUUAAGUCAGUUGUGAAAGUUUGCGGCUCAACCGUAAAAUUGCAGUUGAUACUGGAUAUCUUGAGUGCAGUUGAGGCAGGCGGAAUUCGUGGUGUAGCGGUGAAAUGCUUAGAUAUCACGAAGAACUCCGAUUGCGAAGGCAGCCUGCUAAGCUGCAACUGACAUUGAGGCUCGAAAGUGUGGGUAUCAAACAGGAUUAGAUACCCUGGUAGUCCACACGGUAAACGAUGAAUACUCGCUGUUUGCGAUAUACGGCAAGCGGCCAAGCGAAAGCGUUAAGUAUUCCACCUGGGGAGUACGCCGGCAACGGUGAAACUCAAAGGAAUUGACGGGGGCCCGCACAAGCGGAGGAACAUGUGGUUUAAUUCGAUGAUACGCGAGGAACCUUACCCGGGCUUAAAUUGCAGAUGAAUUACGGUGAAAGCCGUAAGCCGCAAGGCAUCUGUGAAGGUGCUGCAUGGUUGUCGUCAGCUCGUGCCGUGAGGUGUCGGCUUAAGUGCCAUAACGAGCGCAACCCUUGUUGUCAGUUACUAACAGGUUCCGCUGAGGACUCUGACAAGACUGCCAUCGUAAGAUGUGAGGAAGGUGGGGAUGACGUCAAAUCAGCACGGCCCUUACGUCCGGGGCUACACACGUGUUACAAUGGGGGGUACAGAGGGCCGCUACCACGCGAGUGGAUGCCAAUCCCAAAAACCUCUCUCAGUUCGGACUGGAGUCUGCAACCCGACUCCACGAAGCUGGAUUCGCUAGUAAUCGCGCAUCAGCCACGGCGCGGUGAAUACGUUCCCGGGCCUUGUACACACCGCCCGUCAAGCCAUGGGAGCCGGGGGUACCUGAAGUGCGUAACCGCGAGGAGCGCCCUAGGGUAAAACUGGUGACUGGGGCUAAGUCAUAA